GUUUCCGUAGGUGAACCUGCGGAAGGAUCAUUACCGAGAGAGGGGCCCUCGCGCUCCCGGGGGUUUCGGCCCCCAACUCUUCACCCGUGUGUACCUACCUUUGUUGCUUUGGCGGGCCCUGAGCACCCCUCGCGCCGCCCACUGUAGGCCGGCGAGCGCCCGCCAGAGGCCCAUCAAAAAUCUGUUUAUCAAUGACGUCCGAGCGAAAAACACAAUAAUUAAAACUUUCAACAACGGAUCUCUUGGUUCCAGCAUCGAUGAAGAACGCAGCGAAAUGCGAUAACUAAUGUGAAUUGCAGAAUUCAGUGAAUCAUCGAGUCUUUGAACGCACAUUGCGCCCCUCGGUAUUCCGGGGGGCAUGCCUGUUCGAGCGUCAUUAUACCCCUCAAGCGUAGCUUGGUAUUGGGCCUCGCCCCCGCGGCGUGCCCGGAAAUCAGCGGCGGUCCGGGGCGACUUUAAGCGUAAUAAUUUCAUCCCGCUUUGAAGGUUCGCCCUGCGGCCGGCCGGACAACCCCAUACAUUUUCAACCAUUGACCUCGGAUCAGGUAGGGAUACCCGCUGAACUUAAGC
This 570-nucleotide ribosomal RNA is filed under the name Allocetraria sinensis. RNAcentral's name for it is "partial 18S ribosomal RNA". The stretch from base 223 to 376 matches the Rfam family "5.8S ribosomal RNA". The record is from RNAcentral. Lineage: Eukaryota; Fungi; Ascomycota; Lecanoromycetes; Lecanorales; Parmeliaceae.